RNAcentral lists this unclassified non-coding RNA (337 nucleotides) under soil metagenome. Its description in RNAcentral is "partial contains 5.8S ribosomal RNA, internal transcribed spacer 2, and large subunit ribosomal RNA". The stretch from base 1 to 120 matches the Rfam family "5.8S ribosomal RNA", at positions 35 to 154 of the family's 154-position model. The record is from RNAcentral.
GAUGAAGAACGUAGCGAAAUGCGAUAAGUAGUGUGAAUUGCAGAAUUCAGUGAAUCAUCGAAUCUUUGAACGCACAUUGCGCCCCAUGGUAUUCCGUGGGGCAUGCCUGUUCGAGCGUCAUUUACCCCCUCAAGCUCCGCUUGGUGUUGGGCGUCUGUCCCGCUUCGCGCGCGGACUCGCCCCAAAGGUAUUGGCAGCGGUCGUGCCAGCUUCUCGCGCAGCACAUUGCGCUUCUCGAGGCACCGGUGGGCCCGCGUCCAUCAAGCUCACCCCCCCAGUUUGAUCUCGGAUCAGGUAGGGAUACCCGCUGAACUUAAGCAUAUCAAUAAGCGGAGGA